This 285-nucleotide ribosomal RNA is filed under the name Lysinibacillus fusiformis. RNAcentral's name for it is "partial 16S ribosomal RNA". It matches the Rfam family "Bacterial small subunit ribosomal RNA", at positions 1086 to 1372 of the family's 1533-position model. Lineage: Bacteria; Bacillati; Bacillota; Bacilli; Caryophanales; Bacillaceae. The record is from RNAcentral.
CCCGCAACGAGCGCCACCCUUGAUCUUAGUUGCCAUCAUUUAGUUGGGCACUCUAAGGUGACUGCCGGUGACAAACCGGAGGAAGGUGGGGAUGACGUCUAAUCAUCCUGCCCCUUAUGACCUGGGCUACACACGUGCUACAAUGGACGAUACAAACGGUUGCCAACUCGCGAGAGGGAGCUAAUCCGAUAAAGUCGUUCUCAGUUCGGAUUGUAGGCUGCAACUCGCCUACAUGAAGCCGGAAUCGCUAGUAAUCGCGGAUCAGCAUGCCGCGGUGAAUACGUU